CCUACGGGAGGCAGCAGUGGGGAAUUUUGGACAAUGGGCGCAAGCCUGAUCCAGCAAUGCCGCGUGAGUGAAGAAGGCCUUCGGGUUGUAAAGCUCUUUUGUCAGGGAAGAAACGGUGGGGGCUAAUAUCUCCUACUAAUGACGGUACCUGAAGAAUAAGCACCGGCUAACUACGUGCCAGCAGCCGCGGUAAUACGUAGGGUGCAAGCGUUAAUCGGAAUUACUGGGCGUAAAGCGUGCGCAGGCGGUUUUGUAAGUCUGUCGUGAAAGCCCCGGGCUCAACCUGGGAAUUGCGAUGGAGACUGCAAGGCUUGAAUCUGGCAGAGGGGGGUAGAAUUCCACGUGUAGCAGUGAAAUGCGUAGAGAUGUGGAGGAACACCGAUGGCGAAGGCAGCCCCCUGGGUCAAGAUUGACGCUCAUGCACGAAAGCGUGGGGAGCAAACAGGAUUAGAUACCCUGGUAGUCCACGCCCUAAACGAUGUCUACUAGUUGUCGGGUUUUAAUUAACUUGGUAACGCAGCUAACGCGUGAAGUAGACCGCCUGGGGAGGUACGGUCGCAGAUAAACUUAAAUAGAGUAGAGNGNGAGAGNGCGAGACGACACGAGGGAGGAGG
Molecule: ribosomal RNA, 614 nt
Filed under: uncultured bacterium
Lineage: Bacteria
Description: bacterial SSU rRNA
Rfam family: Bacterial small subunit ribosomal RNA
Source: RNAcentral